GUUCCUGUAGUGCAAUGCAGAGCGCGUUGGACUUCUAAUCCAAAAGUCGUGGGUUCGUAUCUCACCUGGGAUG
Molecule: transfer RNA, 73 nt
Filed under: Trichonephila inaurata madagascariensis
Lineage: Eukaryota; Metazoa; Arthropoda; Arachnida; Araneae; Nephilidae
Rfam family: tRNA
About the family: Transfer RNA (tRNA) molecules are approximately 80 nucleotides in length. Their secondary structure includes four short double-helical elements and three loops (D, anti-codon, and T loops).
Source: Rfam by way of RNAcentral